GUUGGCCUACGGGACGCAGCAGUGAGGAAUAUUGGUCAAUGGGCGUAAGCCUGAACCAGCCAAGUCGCGUGAGGGAUGAAGGUUCUAUGGAUCGUAAACCUCUUUUAUAAGGGAAUAAAGUGCGGGACGUGUCCCGUUUUGUAUGUACCUUAUGAAUAAGGAUCGGCUAACUCCGUGCCAGCAGCCGCGGUAAUAUGGAGGAUCCGAGCGUUAUCCGGAUUUAUUGGGUUUA
Molecule: ribosomal RNA, 232 nt
Filed under: uncultured bacterium
Lineage: Bacteria
Description: partial 16S ribosomal RNA
Rfam family: Bacterial small subunit ribosomal RNA
Source: RNAcentral